Mus musculus (house mouse) is the source of this 350-nucleotide non-coding RNA. NCBI's taxonomy places the organism in Eukaryota, Metazoa, Chordata, Mammalia, Rodentia, Muridae. The record is from the annotation of a RefSeq genome assembly.
AUGUACUUCAGGCACAGCUUGGAUUUUCUUGCCCUUAUUUUAAAAGGUGCCCAGUGUGAGAUGUAGCUGGUGGAGUCUAGGAGAGGCUUAGUACAGCCUGGAAGGUCCCUGAACUCUCAUGAGCAGCCUCUGGAUUCACUUUUAGUAAUUAUGUCAUGGCCUGGGUCCAACAAGCUCCAGAGAAGGGGCUGGAGUGGGUUGCAUACAUUAGUAGUGGCAGUAGUACCUUCUAUUAUGCAGACACAGUUAAGGGCCCAUUCACCAUCUCCAGAGACAAUGCCAAGAACACCCUGUUCCAGCAAAUGAGCAGUCUAAGGUCUGAGGACAGAGACAAAAAGAUAAAAAUAUAU